Molecule: ribosomal RNA, 480 nt
Filed under: uncultured bacterium
Lineage: Bacteria
Description: partial 16S ribosomal RNA
Rfam family: Bacterial small subunit ribosomal RNA
Source: RNAcentral
GAUGAACGCUGGCGGCGUGCUUAACACAUGCAAGUCGAACGAAGCAUUUAGGACAGAUUACUUCGGUUUGAAGUUCUUUAUGACUGAGUGGCGGACGGGUGAGUAACGCGUGGGUAACCUGCCUUGUACUGGGGGAUAGCAGCUGGAAACGGCUGGUAAUACCGCAUAAGCGCACAAUGUUGCAUGACAUGGUGUGAAAAACUCCGGUGGUAUAAGAUGGACCCGCGUCUGAUUAGCUAGUUGGUGAGAUAACAGCCCACCAAGGCGACGAUCAGUAGCCGACCUGAGAGGGUGACCGGCCACAUUGGGACUGAGACACGGCCCAGACUCCUACGGGAGGCAGCAGUGGGGAAUAUUGCACAAUGGAGGAAACUCUGAUGCAGCGACGCCGCGUGAGUGAAGAAGUAAUUCGUUAUGUAAAGCUCUAUCAGCAGGGAAGAUAGUGACGGUACCUGACUAAGAAGCUCCGGCUAAAUACGU